This 686-nucleotide long non-coding RNA is filed under the name Homo sapiens (human). RNAcentral describes it as "HSALNT0329566". The record is from RNAcentral. Lineage: Eukaryota; Metazoa; Chordata; Mammalia; Primates; Hominidae.
CGGGCCCGGCCGAGCGGCAGCCCCUGCCCUGGAGGGUGGUCUCCAGGGACCAAGGCGUGGCGGGCGGUGCGGAGAGGCGCGGCACAGAUGGCUACAUCAGAGGAAUUUCUCCACAUAUUCAGAACGUCCUAAAAGCUCCACAAAAUCUUCAUCAUGAGUGAUUACCAGAAGCUGGAAGUUACGCUGCUAAGGCUUACUCCUUCGCCUGGGAUUUUCCUGACCUGUUACUACUUUUCUCUGGAAGAAAAAUUUAAAAGUAAUAAAGACAAACUACAGUUACUUGGGUGAGUUGGCUCCCCAGGCUUUUGAGAUACCUGCCUUUUGUCCAGCACUGCAUCGUCCUCGCAUAUCCAAGGCUGUGUCUCCCUUCAGCAUCACCACUCGGCUUUUAGCAGACUGAAGCCAUGGUUUUUAGUUUUGUCUCUAGUGAUGAGCAGAAAAGAGGGAUGAGGAAGAGGCUUUACUGGUCCAACCAGAAAGAGAAGCUAAGAACCCAUGACUGGAUUCUCUCCCUUGGACACCCCACAGACCAAUAUCUCACCUUCCAGGAGAAGACCCUUCCAGCUCUUGCUUCUUUAAACCUAUUAACUUAGUUUUCUUUAGCUAGACUCCCAAACAUCAGCUUUUACAAUUCAGCCUAUGGUUCAAUCACUAUGGCAAGAUAAACAUUUGUUUAGGUGUGAAAC